GACGAACGCUGGCGGCGCGCUUAACACAUGCAAGUCGAACGGAAAGGCCCGCCUUUCCUUGUGGGUUCCGGGGACUCGAGUGGGGGAAAGGUGAGUAACACCUGCGUGUUCUGCCCCCAAAUUGGGUAGAAACCUGGGAAAAUGGGGCUUAUUCCCGAUAGGAGCACAGGGGGGGUCCUGAGGUGGAGGAGGGUGUUCUAGGGGUUGGGGGUGAGCUCCCGGCCUAUCAGCUUGUUGGUGGGGGAAUGGCCUACCAAGGCGGCGACGGGUAGCCGGCCUGAGAGGGUGGACGGCCACAUUGGGACUGCGAUACGGCCCAGACUCCUACGGGAGGCAGCAGUGGGGAAUAGUGCACAAUGGGCGGAAGCCUGAUGCAGCGACGCCGCGUGGGGGAUGCCGGCCUUCGGGUUGUAAACUCCUUUCGACCGCGAGGAAGCCACCUGGUUGGAAGGGUGGUGACGGUAGUGGUAGAAGAAGCACCGGCUAACUACGUG
RNAcentral lists this ribosomal RNA (494 nucleotides) under uncultured bacterium. RNAcentral describes it as "partial 16S ribosomal RNA". It matches the Rfam family "Bacterial small subunit ribosomal RNA", at positions 28 to 507 of the family's 1533-position model. The record is from RNAcentral.